GGUUUCGACAUUGCUUGACACCAUUCUCUGGUUAGUAGCCCUUUAUUUAGAUCAAAUGCAUCCAUUCUUGUUGAAUUGUUUGAGUUUCUAUGCAUUUGGCUAAGAACAUGAUGAACUAGUUGAAUUUCCAUCAUGACUUAGGAGCAUUUUAGACUUCAAUCCUCCAUGUAGUGAAAGAGUUGUGUGUUUCUGUUUGUUGUAGAUGUCAGGGUCUAAAGGUUCUAGUGAUGAGGGCUUCUCUAGCUCUGGCUCUAGGUUUGAGCCGUCAAGGACUUCCUUGGAGUCUUAUGAAAAGGAAGUGUUGGGUGACUUUCAUGAUCACCAAGUGUCCCUUCCAUUAGAUGAAGAGGCGGGUGAAAAGUAUAGGUCUAGGGACAGAGCCUCAGAUAUUGUUGCAUCUACUUCCCACGUGUCGGUAGUUGAGGAGGGUGUCCUCGAUGCUAUACCUAUCUUUCACUCCGAGUUUAUGGCGGACCGCUUAGAUACGAACUUGCUAGAUAGUAGGCGUCAACUUGAGGCCUUAAGGGAGUCUUGUUGCAUACCUGAGAGCGGAGCAAUGCGCUUGGUGCACGAUGAAGAAUUGCCUACCGUAAGGAGGGUGAAGUUUCUGUUGCAUCCGUGGUUACCAAAGAUGAUUGCCCUCAUGGGGUACGUGCCUAGGCAACUCAAUCUUGGUUUAUGGGAGACUUUGAUUGGGGCUUACAUCAUCUGGAUGGAGUGUGGUCUAGGUGAACCUUCAUUCCCUCAAUGGCGGUAUUGCUAUAAGAUGCGUCUGGUCAAGUCGUCCACGGGCUAUGUUGAGUGUGUGUGUUGGAGUGAGAAAAAGAGUAUAGUCUUUGAUAAGAGAAAAUCAUAUUCUACUUGGAAAAACUGUUAGUGCUUCCUUUACAAGGGUUGGGAGCAUGAUAGAAGUACCACACCUGAGCGACACAUUUCUAUCCACUUCCAGACCGUAUUGUAAUGCAUCCAUUGUUUGCAUACUUUGUUAUUUGUUGUGAUCUUUACUUGCUUCUAACACUUUGCCUUAUGUAGUGUUGAAGGAGGCUAUCAAAUUGUUUGGACAAAAGAGGAUUGACACUUGGGCAAGCUACAACCCUUGUUUCAAAAUGGAGAAGGUGAGCAAGAAAGGGGAGACUAGAGCACCAAGAAAUGGAAGACAACCAUGGUAGUUCCCUUAUACGACGUUCUGUUUCACAAAGGGGCUCGCAAACACAGGGUGAGGCCAAUCCCCAAGCCUUAAGUCUCAAGAGGAGGUCCUUAAGAUUGUUGCCUCCAAGAAGGAUGAAGUUAGGGCCAUCGGAUGGGCUGUUGCCAAAAUUGCUGGGGAGUUGAAACGACUAAUGCCUCUUCCUCCUAACAUCGAUCCUAUAUUUCCUCUGAUCAUGGAGCAUGCUGGCUAGGAAGGUGGCCCUAACUCCAGCCUCAAAAGGAAGUAUAAGGAAGAGGCUGAUAGCAUCCCCUGGAAGGACUUGAAGGUUGCCAUGCAGCCAAAUAGCUUUAGGUACAUCAACAAUUGCCUUGCAGGGCGCUGAGCCAUUGUUGACGAGUUUGACGAGCCACUAUUUGAGAAUGAAUCGGAUCAUGACAUGAUGAUGAGGCUUCUGAUUUUGUCAUAACCAAGUAGGACGACAGACUACAAGAGGUCAAGUGAUACAAGGCGAAGUUUCAAGAGAACAAGUAGCUUAUGGAUGACACCAGGAAGGGGCGCAAUGCUUGAACUGAGGUCGUCCAGCUCAAGGACCAAACCUUAGAGAGGUUGAAGAGGCGAAAUGAUGAGAACUUACGGCUCAAAAAGCAGUUGGAGGCGACUAUCCUCAAGGCUUCCAAGGUCAGAGGGGAGUGGGAUAGUGCCCUGGUUUAGAUUUCUGAGUAGAAAAAGAGUCUCCCAACUGAGAGGGAAGCUGCCGUGCCUAAGUACUUGGGCACCCGACCUUCCGCCAUGUCAUCAGGCCUCACUGUGCUUAGGAGAUUCGGCUUGACAAAAGGAAAUGGAUGGCCAUUCUUGAGCAAUACCACGACGGAGGCAUCAUCGACAAGUACCAUGAAGAGAUGGAGGAGCAUCGACGAAAUGGUGAACCCUUUGUCCUUGAACUCGAUCCCAGUAGUGAUGAGGAGUUUGAGGAUGGUGCCAAAACCAAUGACCAGACUCAGCAGGGUGAGGAUAGACUUAGAGAUGCUGAGGAUGGCGAUGGAGGCGAGAUGUAACAUGAUGUUAUCAAGAGUUCGGCCUCAGAUGAGGAUGAUUCGUAGUGCCCUCAACUCCUACAUGCACUAGUUUGUUGUAUAUAUGCUAUGUGUUAAGUUAGGCACUUGAAGGCUUUUUGUUUAUGGAUGUUU
Molecule: long non-coding RNA, 2337 nt
Organism: Pyrus x bretschneideri (Chinese white pear)
Lineage: Eukaryota; Viridiplantae; Streptophyta; Magnoliopsida; Rosales; Rosaceae
Exons: 3
Source: RefSeq, a predicted model, not a curated record